UACGUAGGGGGCAAGCGUUGUCCGGAUUUAUUGGGCGUAAAGAGCGUGUAGGCGGUUUGGUAGGUCCGCUGUGAAAACUCGAGGCUCAACCUCGAGACGCCGGUGGAAACCAUCAGGCUAGAGUCCGGAAGAGGAGAGUGGAAUUCCUGGUGUAGCGGUGAAAUGCGCAGAUAUCAGGAAGAACACCCGUGGCUAAGGCGGCUCUCUAGUACGGUACUGACGCUAAGACGCGAAAGCGUGGGGAGCGAACAGG
Molecule: ribosomal RNA, 253 nt
Filed under: uncultured bacterium
Lineage: Bacteria
Description: partial 16S ribosomal RNA
Rfam family: Bacterial small subunit ribosomal RNA
Source: RNAcentral